Long non-coding RNA from Temnothorax curvispinosus, 327 nucleotides. RefSeq lists it as uncharacterized. NCBI's taxonomy places the organism in Eukaryota, Metazoa, Arthropoda, Insecta, Hymenoptera, Formicidae. The transcript is spliced from 3 exons. The record is from RefSeq and is a predicted model, not a curated record.
UUGACACAAUUUAUCCCAAUGCGAAAACUAAAUUUAAAGAAGAGUGGGACACAGUAGCUCCAUUAAUAAUACGUUGUGCUAAAUCAAAAAAUAAAUUAAAUUCAUCAGAUGAGGAAUUAAUUGAAGCAGGAAAAACGAAUAUUUUAGCACUAUUUUGUUUAUCGAAAAUUCUCAGGACAAUUCUUCGCAAAAGAAAAGAUUCUGAUAUUACUUUUGGAUGUUUGUUACAAGAUGUAACGAAUUCCUUUAUACUUCAUGUUAAGUCGCUUGAUGAUUUAACGGAGUUUAAGAAUAGAAGAAUUGAAGAGUCAAACAAAAGUGGAAAUA